UACAGAGGGUGCGAGCGUUGUCCGGAAUUACUGGGCGUAAAGGGCCAGUAGGCGGCCAACUAAGUCACACGUGAAAUCCCCAGGCUUAACCUGGGAACUGCGUGUGAUACUGGAUGGCUUGAAUUCGGGAGAGGGAUGCAGAAUUCCAGGUGUAGCGGUGAAAUGCGUAGAUAUCUGGAGGAAUACCGGUGGCGAAGGCGGCAUCCUGGACCGACAUUGACGCUGAACGGCGAAAGCUAGGGGAGCAAACGGG
This 253-nucleotide ribosomal RNA is filed under the name uncultured bacterium. Its description in RNAcentral is "partial 16S ribosomal RNA". It matches the Rfam family "Bacterial small subunit ribosomal RNA", at positions 524 to 776 of the family's 1533-position model. The record is from RNAcentral.